GACGAACGCUGGCGGCGUGCCUAAUACAUGCAAGUAGAACGCUGAAGGAGGAGCUUGCUCUUCUGGAUGAGUUGCGAACGGGUGAGUAACGCGUAGGUAACCUGCCUGGUAGCGGGGGAUAACUAUUGGAAACGAUAGCUAAUACCGCAUAACAGUAGAUGUUGCAUGACAUUUGCUUAAAAGGUGCAAUUGCACCACUACCAGAUGGACCUGCGUUGUAUUAGCUAGUUGGUGGGGUAACGGCUCACCAAGGCGACGAUACAUAGCCGACCUGAGAGGGUGAUCGGCCACACUGGGACUGAGACACGGCCCAGACUCCUACGGGAGGCAGCAGUAGGGAAUCUUCGGCAAUGGACGGAAGUCUGACCGAGCAACGCCGCGCGAGUGAAGAAGGGUUUCGGAUCGUAAAGCUCUGUUGUAAGAGAAGAACGAGUGUGAGAGUGGAAAGUUCACACUGUGACGGUAGCUUACCAGAAAGGGACGGCUAACUACGUG
Molecule: ribosomal RNA, 495 nt
Filed under: uncultured bacterium
Lineage: Bacteria
Description: partial 16S ribosomal RNA
Rfam family: Bacterial small subunit ribosomal RNA
Source: RNAcentral